This 423-nucleotide ribosomal RNA is filed under the name uncultured bacterium. RNAcentral describes it as "bacterial SSU rRNA". It matches the Rfam family "Bacterial small subunit ribosomal RNA", at positions 355 to 775 of the family's 1533-position model. The record is from RNAcentral.
UAAGGAAUAUUGGACAAUGGGCGCAAGCCUGAUCCAGCCAUGCCGCGUGCAGGAUGACGGCGCUCAGCGUUGUAAACUGCUUUUGUUUGGGAAAAAACCCUUGCUUUAUAGCGAGGCUGAUGGUACCAAAAGAAUAAGGGACGGCUAACUUCGUGCCAGCAGCCGCGGUAAUACGAAGGUCCCAAGCGUUAUCCGGAUUUAUUGGGUUUAAAGGGUGCGUAGGCGGGCUAUUAAGUCAGUGGUGAAAUCUCCGAGCCUAACUCGGAAAUUGCCAUUGAUACUGAUGGUCUUGAGUACAUUUGAAGUGGGCGGAAUGUGUCAUGUAGCGGUGAAAUGCUUAGAUAUGACACAGAACACCGAUUGCGUAGGCAGCUCACUAAACUGUAACUGACGCUGAGGCACGAAAGCGUGGGGAGCAAACAG